This is a long non-coding RNA of Oncorhynchus masou masou (cherry salmon), 648 nucleotides long. RefSeq lists it as uncharacterized. NCBI's taxonomy places the organism in Eukaryota, Metazoa, Chordata, Actinopteri, Salmoniformes, Salmonidae. The record is from RefSeq and is a predicted model, not a curated record. The transcript has 4 exons.
GUAUGCUACUGUACCACAGAUCUAGGAUAGGAUUACUUUACUCCCAUACUAUCCUUAAUCACCAGGGGAGUGAAAGGUAUCUGACUCCGUAUCAGUUGUUAGGCUACAUGGAUAAUUUAUUGGAGACAGAAUGAAGUUUGCCAGCAGACAAGACAAGGUCGGUUUACCAUAUUGCAUCGAUCCUUGCUAUGAGCCACUUUACAAUUCAUACCAAAUUUGUUUAACUGAUUGUGUUUGCCUUUCAUGCCUGAGACACGGGUUCGCUUCCCGCUCCGUCAGUUCGCUACAAUGGUGUCAGAAAUGGAAUGGUGGCCGUGGGGUCAUCGAAGCGCACAGCCCGGUAUGUGUGAGGGAUCUGAGUGCCAUUCACAGUGUAUUCAACACAGAAACAGGAGAAACUUUAAAUGUCUAGAAAUGUCCGGAGCUACGGGUCAACCAAAAACACUUGUAACGCCCGUCGGAAGAAGUGGACCAAGCACACUCUGCCAACCCUGAUGUCCUUGCCGUGUCUGAAUCCUGGCUUAGGAAGGCCACCAACAAUUCUGAGAUUUCCAAACCCAGCUACAACAUUUUCUGUCAAGAUAGAACUGCCAAAGGGGGAGGAGAUGCAAUCUACUGCAGAGAUAGCUUGCAAAGUUCUGUCAUACU